CAGAGCUCCCUCAUAAGAGUCACUGGACAAGGAUGAGGUUAGAAGUUCUGCCCAGAAUGAGGGCAGGGGCUUCCUUCUUGGGCCAAAUUCACUGCCUUGUGGCUGCAGGUGGACGUAUUGGUGACCACAGCUGGCGGCGUGGAGGAAGACCUCAUCAAGUGCCUGGCGCCCACAUACUUGGGCGAGUUUAGCCUCAGGGGGAAGGAGCUCCGGGAGAACGGGAUCAAUAGGAUCGGAAACCUGCUGGUGCCCAAUGACAAUUACUGCAAGUUUGAGGACUGGCUGAUGCCCAUUCUGGACCAGAUGGUGAUGGAGCAGAACACAGAGGUGGGGCUGGGGCAACCUGGAGCGGCCAGUCCAGUGGGAGUCAGGGGAGGCAUGGCCUGAAGCUCACAUCCUCUCCUAGGGUGUAAAGUGGACGCCUUCUAAGAUGAUCGCCCGGCUGGGCAAGGAGAUCAACAACCCAGAGUCCGUGUAUUACUGGGCCCAGAAGAACCACAUCCCUGUGUUUAGUCCCGCACUUACAGACGGCUCGCUGGGCGACAUGAUCUUCUUCCAUUCCUACAAGAACCCGGGCCUGGUCCUGGACAUCGUUGAGGGUGAGGCGCUAGGGCCACAGAGGAGAGGGGAAGGAGGGCUGGCUGAGUCCAAGGCCUGACUUCGGCCCUCUUCCCCCAGACCUGAGGCUCAUCAACACACAGGCCAUCUUUGCCAAGUGCACUGGG
Molecule: small RNA, 725 nt
Filed under: Pan troglodytes (chimpanzee)
Lineage: Eukaryota; Metazoa; Chordata; Mammalia; Primates; Hominidae
Description: retained intron
Source: RNAcentral